CGUCAAGAGUGGUCAGCGUCAAGCCUCCCGGCUUGCUGACCCGGCAACCGCGCCACCCGCGCACGGUGCCCCCGGGGGAAGACCAGGCCGACCGCAAGCCGCGGCACGGCAAGAGCGGGUG
Molecule: regulatory RNA element, 121 nt
Organism: Micromonospora lupini str. Lupac 08
Lineage: Bacteria; Bacillati; Actinomycetota; Actinomycetes; Micromonosporales; Micromonosporaceae
Rfam family: SAM (S-adenosyl methionine) riboswitch aptamer
About the family: SAM-IV is a mRNA element that regulates gene expression via direct sensing of S-adenosylmethionine (SAM or AdoMet). SAM-IV riboswitches share conserved nucleotide positions with the previously described SAM-I riboswitches sequence analysis and molecular recognition experiments suggest that SAM-I and SAM-IV riboswitches share similar ligand binding sites, but have different scaffolds.
Source: Rfam